This 239-nucleotide long non-coding RNA is filed under the name Lathyrus oleraceus (garden pea). RNAcentral's name for it is "Pisum sativum (pea) long non-coding RNA (PSAT_LNC005024)". Lineage: Eukaryota; Viridiplantae; Streptophyta; Magnoliopsida; Fabales; Fabaceae. The record is from RNAcentral.
UAAUCUGACUCAUCCUUGUGUUUCAAGAACUUUACCCAUGUCCAUCGACUAUAGUCAUCAAUGAUGACAAAUCCAUACUUCUUUCCAUUGAUAGAGGCAGUAUUCACUGGUCCAAACAAAUCAAUAUGCAGACAUUUUAACGGUCUAUAAGUAGAAACAAUAAUUUUCGCUUUGAAAUGUGUUUUAGAAAACUUGUCUUUCUUACAUGCUUCACAAAGAGCAUCUGAAGUGAACUUCAG